Molecule: long non-coding RNA, 323 nt
Organism: Drosophila montana
Lineage: Eukaryota; Metazoa; Arthropoda; Insecta; Diptera; Drosophilidae
Exons: 2
Source: RefSeq, a predicted model, not a curated record
AGUUGCCCAGCCAAGUGCUACUUUUCUUGGGAAAUGUUCUAUUGUGUUCUUCUUUGUGUAACUUCAUACCUGUUCUUAACCAAAAAGUAGAGAACGCCCCGUCGAUCCGGUCUGGCUACCUGCUGUACAAGUUUCAACUCACGCAAGUCCAGAGUUAUAUGGUUUCUUUGCUCUAACAUUAGCUAGGACUUGCGACUUUUCAUCUGAAACGGAAGUUUAUAUUUUGUAUACAUAUUACAUAUAAUAAGGCAUUUCUUGCUGGUUAUGAUAUUUUUAUAACAUUGCGGGGGGGUCCUAAAAAUAUAAAUAUCAUAUAAACAUCA